Molecule: long non-coding RNA, 796 nt
Organism: Hemicordylus capensis (graceful crag lizard)
Lineage: Eukaryota; Metazoa; Chordata; Lepidosauria; Squamata; Cordylidae
Exons: 3
Source: RefSeq, a predicted model, not a curated record
AGGAGGCGGUCGCGGUGGUGGCAGCAGCAGAGUAACAACAGAAGCAGCAAAAAUGCAGGGACACUGCAUCCCUGUUGCCAGACAGAGGCAGAAGGAGAAAGGAGAUGGCAGAGGUUGGAGCAUCAGCUCCAAGAAGCAGCUAGCAAGAAAACCCCAGGUUUCAGCAGUGCAAACCACUAUAAACUGCAGCAUACGUAGGAUUCCCAAGCAGCCACCCAUUCAGGACUUGACCAACAUUUAGCUUCAACAAGAUGUCCGUAUCAUGUGCUCUCAGACCAUGUCCUGGGACCCAUCAACACCGACAAGUUCUAGGUAACAAUGUGGGCCUGUCUAUGGUAAAUUACACCUGGAUACUAGUCUGGCCUUGUCAAUCUGUUUUUAUCAGUAUUUUGGUAUCGUAGAUUCAGGAAUGCUUGAUGCAUACUUACAUGCCUCCAGCCACCCAGAGCACUCAAUCCAUUGUUAAUAUCUAAGUCCUAUGCUACAACCAUGUAUAUUUCACUCUCUCAAAGACAAAUUCUUCAAGCACUUGCAUCAAGCAUUAUUGAAGAGUCUGGAAUCCAUAAUGAGUUAGGCAAAAGCUAAGCAACUGAAUUUCAGUCCAGCCAAGGUGGAGGCCUGGGAUAGGUAGUUCAUCAGAACAUGACGGUGGUGGGCAACUAGUUCUAGAUGGGCUUCCACUCCAAUUUAAAGAUAAAGUCCACAAUUUGGGAGUGAUUCUAAACCCAGUUUUUAUGGAUGUUCACAUGGUUACUUUAGCUCAAAGUGCCUUUCAUCAACUGCAGUCAAAACUGAU